UUGGUGUCCCUUCCCGUCAAGAAUUUCAAUCGGAUUGAUUUGGACGCUCGUUAUAGGAGUAACGGACGGAGAAUCAGUCUCGAUUUGAUUCCUUGUUACAUGAACUCAAUCGGAUUGAUUUGGACGCUCGUUACAGGAGUAACGGACGCCGUCGGACGGAGAAUCAAAUCUCAAAUAAAUUCCUCCUCGCACAUAUCUCUACCUACCCGGGAUAGGCAGUGACACUCCAUCUCAUCUAUCCUUCCAUACUGUUCCAAGGUGAAUCCCGUGUUUCUGUUCUUGAGUUGCUUCCUGUCUCCCCAGUUCACCACCUACGUGCACUUGCUAAGAAAAAAAAAACUAGACUAAUUUCGUUCAACGGCAAGGCAGGUAGUUUUCAAUAUUGUCGUGUCAUAAAUACCUACAUAAAUAAACGAUUAUAUUUUAUCUACACCGGUGCCCCCUGUCAUUAUAAUAGUGUAAUGUAAAGGAGCUCCAGCACCUUAUCUUUAAGAGAACUUUUAAGAUACAAUACAUUAGUGAUCCAACGUGCUCAGAUAUACAUAUAAAUAUAUAUCAUAUGAAUAUGUGAUUCACAUUAAAAGCAUAAAAGGAUGCAUAAAAUUGCUGGAGCGAGCAGCGAGGGAGGGGGAAAUGGAUGUCAUCACACCGAUCUGUGUAGGAACGAGAUGCAUUGGGAAGUUGAGCAGGAGGGUGAGAAGACCCUAAAGUUGCACAAGCCGCAUGUAGGGGUGGUAGUCAGGCGACUUAUGCUCAUGUUCUCGAGCUAAACUAACGCCCACGGACAUCCCCAUUAACGGCAACAAGUAUGGAUGGCUAACCAUGCCCGCCGCCUAUGGACGGUUUAUGUCGGUGUGUAUGCCCAUCAACGCAAGUGGAAGAGCCACCAGUUUUGCUUUAACAUCAUGAAUGGAAGCAGAAAAGAAAGAUACCAAUAAAAAUAGUAUACAUAGUACU
Molecule: long non-coding RNA, 957 nt
Filed under: Oryza brachyantha (malo sina)
Lineage: Eukaryota; Viridiplantae; Streptophyta; Magnoliopsida; Poales; Poaceae
Description: long non-coding RNA (OBRA_LNC000260)
Source: RNAcentral